GGGCUGGGGUUGAGUGGUAGAGCACAUGCUUCUCAUGCAUGAGGCCCUGGGUUCAAUCCUCAGCACCACA
RNAcentral lists this transfer RNA (70 nucleotides) under Marmota monax (woodchuck). RNAcentral's name for it is "tRNA.Glu". The stretch from base 5 to 65 matches the Rfam family "tRNA", at positions 6 to 65 of the family's 71-position model. Rfam says of the family: Transfer RNA (tRNA) molecules are approximately 80 nucleotides in length. Lineage: Eukaryota; Metazoa; Chordata; Mammalia; Rodentia; Sciuridae. The record is from RNAcentral.